Molecule: ribosomal RNA, 303 nt
Filed under: uncultured bacterium
Lineage: Bacteria
Description: partial 16S ribosomal RNA
Rfam family: Bacterial small subunit ribosomal RNA
Source: RNAcentral
AGCAGUCGCCGCGGGAAAACGUAGGGUCCGAGCGUUGUCCGGAAUUAUUGGGCGUAAAGGGCUCGUAGGCGGUUUGUUGCGUCGGGAGUGAAAACCCAGGGCUUAACUUUGGGCUUGCUUUCGAUACGGGCAGACAUGAGGCAUUGAGGGGAGAACGGAAUUCCUGGUGUAGCGGUGAAAUGCGCAGAUAUCAGGAGGAACACCGGUGGCGAAGGCGGUUCUCUGGCAAUGUUCUGACGCUGAGGAGCGAAAGUGUGGGGAGCGAACAGGAUUAGAUACCCCUGUAGUCCCUGUCUCUUAUAC